This 543-nucleotide ribosomal RNA is filed under the name Klebsiella pneumoniae. RNAcentral's name for it is "partial 23S ribosomal RNA". It matches the Rfam family "Bacterial large subunit ribosomal RNA", at positions 2261 to 2803 of the family's 2925-position model. RNAcentral also lists the same sequence under 1 other name. The record is from RNAcentral. Lineage: Bacteria; Pseudomonadati; Pseudomonadota; Gammaproteobacteria; Enterobacterales; Enterobacteriaceae.
GUGGGUAGUUUGACUGGGGCGGUCUCCUCCCAAAGCGUAACGGAGGAGCACGAAGGUUAGCUAAUCCUGGUCGGACAUCAGGAGGUUAGUGCAAUGGCAUAAGCUAGCUUGACUGCGAGCGUGACGGCGCGAGCAGGUGCGAAAGCAGGUCAUAGUGAUCCGGUGGUUCUGAAUGGAAGGGCCAUCGCUCAACGGAUAAAAGGUACUCCGGGGAUAACAGGCUGAUACCGCCCAAGAGUUCAUAUCGACGGCGGUGUUUGGCACCUCGAUGUCGGCUCAUCACAUCCUGGGGCUGAAGUAGGUCCCAAGGGUAUGGCUGUUCGCCAUUUAAAGUGGUACGCGAGCUGGGUUUAGAACGUCGUGAGACAGUUCGGUCCCUAUCUGCCGUGGGCGCUGGAGAAUUGAGGGGGGCUGCUCCUAGUACGAGAGGACCGGAGUGGACGCAUCACUGGUGUUCGGGUUGUCAUGCCAAUGGCACUGCCCGGUAGCUAAAUGCGGAAGAGAUAAGUGCUGAAAGCAUCUAAGCACGAAACUUGCCCCGAG